CGUGCCUACUACAUGCAAGUCGAGCGAAUGACGAGGAGCUUGCUCCUCUGAUUUAGCGGCGGACGGGUGAGUAACACGUGGGUAAUCUGCCUGUAAGACGGGGAUAACUCCGGGAAACCGGGGCUAAUACCGGAUAACAAGAGAAGAUGCAUAUCUUCUUUUUGAAAGUCGGUUUCGGCUGACACUUACAGAUGAGCCCGCGGCGCAUUAGCUAGUUGGUGAGGUAACGGCUCGCCAAGGCGACGAUGCGUAGCCGACCUGAGAGGGUGAUCGGCCACACUGGGACUGAGACACGGCCCAGACUCCUACGGGAGGCAGCAGUAGGGAAUCUUCGGCAAUGGGCGAAAGCCUGACCGAGCAACGCCGCGUGAGCGAUGAAGGCCUUCGGGUCGUAAAGCUCUGUUGUUAGAGAAGAACAAGUACGAGAGUAACUGCUCGUACCUUGACGGUACCUAACCAGAAAGCCACGGCUAACUACGUGCCAGCAGCCGCGGUAAUACGUAGGUGGCAAGCGUUAUCCGGAAUUAUUGGGCGUAAAGCGCGCGCAGGCGGUCUCUUAAGUCUGAUGUGAAAGCCCACGGCUCAACCGUGGAGGGUCAUUGGAAACUGGGAGACUUGAGUGCAGGAGAGAAAAGUGGAAUUCCACGUGUAGCGGUGAAAUGCGUAAAGAUGUGGAGGAACACCAGUGGCGAA
RNAcentral lists this ribosomal RNA (693 nucleotides) under uncultured bacterium. RNAcentral describes it as "bacterial SSU rRNA". It matches the Rfam family "Bacterial small subunit ribosomal RNA", at positions 43 to 719 of the family's 1533-position model. The record is from RNAcentral.